RNAcentral lists this ribosomal RNA (466 nucleotides) under uncultured bacterium. RNAcentral describes it as "partial 16S ribosomal RNA". It matches the Rfam family "Bacterial small subunit ribosomal RNA", at positions 28 to 507 of the family's 1533-position model. The record is from RNAcentral.
GAUGAACGCUGGCGGCGUGCUUAACACAUGCAAGUCGAACGGAAAGGCCACAGCUUGCUGUGGUACUCGAGUGGCGAACGGGUGAGUAAUACGUGGGUGAUCUGCCCUGUACUUCGGGAUAAGCUUGGGAAACUGGGUCUAAUACCGGAUAGGAAUCACAUGUGGGUGUGUGGUUGGAAAGCUUUUGCGGUAUGGGAUGAGCUCGCGGCCUAUCAGCUUGUUGGUGGGGUAAUGGCCUACCAAGGCGUCGACGGGUAGCCGGCCUGAGAGGGUGUACGGCCACAUUGGGACUGAGAUACGGCCCAGACUCCUACGGGAGGCAGCAGUGGGGAAUAUUGCACAAUGGGCGCAAGCCUGAUGCAGCGACGCCGCGUGGGGGAUGACGGCCUUCGGGUUGUAAACUCCUUUCGUCAGGGACGAAGCGAAAGUGACGGUACCUGGAUAAGAAGCACCGGCUAACUACGUG